This 1244-nucleotide ribosomal RNA is filed under the name metagenome. RNAcentral's name for it is "bacterial LSU rRNA". It matches the Rfam family "Bacterial large subunit ribosomal RNA", at positions 1564 to 2817 of the family's 2925-position model. The record is from RNAcentral.
UGAAUACGAGAUGCUACGGCGUCGAAGCAGUGUAUGUCAGACUUCCAAGAAAAGCUCGCAAUGUCAUAAAUAAAGAAUGCCUGUACCAUAACCGACACAGGUGGGUAGGUAGAGUAUACUAAGGGGCGCGAGAUAACUCUCUCUAAGGAACUCGGCAAAAUAACUCCGAAACUUCGGGAGAAGGAGUGCCUUCUAUUAGAAGGUUGCAAUAACAAGAUCCAAGCAACUGUUUAUCAAAAACACAGGUCUCCGCUAAGUCGUAAGACGAUGUAUGGGGGCUGACGCCUGCCCAGUGCCAGAAGGUUAAAGAAGUUGGUUAGCUUUGGCGAAGCUGAUGACUGAAGCCCUGGUGAACGGCGGCCGUAACCAUAGCGGUCCUAAGGUAGCGAAAUUCCUUGUCGGGUAAGUUCCGACCCGCACGAAAGGCGUAAUGAUUUGGAUACUGUCUCGGAGAGGGACUCGGUGAAAUAGACUUGUCUGUGAAGAUGCGGACUACCUGCACCAGGACAGAAAGACCCUAUGAAGCUUUACUGUAACUUGAAAUUGAAAUUGGUCUUUAUUUGCGUAGCAUAGGUGGAAGGCGUUGAGAUUACUCUUGCGGGAGUACUGGAGCCAUCAGUGAGAUACCACUCCUAUAAUGUUAGAUUUCUAACUUUGGAUCAUGAUCUGGUCAAAGAACAGUUUCAGGCGGGCAGUUUGACUGGGGCGGUCGCCUCCCAAAUGGUAACGGAGGCGUACAAAGGUUUCCUCUGAACGGGUAGAAAUCGUAUCUAGAGUGUAAAGGCAUAAGGAAGCUUGACUGUGAGACCUACAAGUCGAGCAGGGACAAAGUCGGUCUUAGUGAUCUGACGGUGCUGAGUGGAAAGGCCGUCACUCAACGGAUAAAAGUUACUCUAAGGAUAACAGGCUGAUCUCCCCCAAGAGUUUACAUCGACGGGGAGGUUUGGCACCUCGAUGUCGGCUCAUCGCAUCCUGGGGCGGUAGUACGUCCCAAGGGUUGGGCUGUUCGCCCAUGAAAGCGGUACGCGAGCUGGGUUCAGAACGUCGUGAGACAGUUCGGUCCAUAUCCGGUGUAGGCGUUAGAAUAUUGAGAGGAGCCUUCUUUAGUACGAGAGGACCGAGAAGGACAUACCUCUGGUGUACCAGUUAUCGUGCCAACGGUAAACGCUGGGUAGCUAUGUAUGGAGAGGAUAACCGCUGAAAGCAUCUAAGUGGGAAGCCCACCUCAAGAUGAGUAUUCUCAC